RNAcentral lists this ribosomal RNA (497 nucleotides) under uncultured bacterium. RNAcentral's name for it is "partial 16S ribosomal RNA". It matches the Rfam family "Bacterial small subunit ribosomal RNA", at positions 28 to 507 of the family's 1533-position model. The record is from RNAcentral.
GAUGAACGCUGGCGGCGUGCCUAAUACAUGCAAGUCGAGCGAACGGACGAGAAGCUUGCUUCUCUGAUGUUAGCGGCGGACGGGUGAGUAACACGUGGAUAACCUACCUAUAAGACUGGGAUAACUUCGGGAAACCGGAGCUAAUACCGGAUGAUAUUUUGAACCGCAUGGUUCAAAAGUGAAAGACGGUCUUGCUGUAACUUAUAGAUGGAUCCGCGCUGCAUUAGCUAGUUGGUAAGGUAACGGCUUACCAAGGCAACGAUGCAUAGACGACCUGAGAGGGUGAUCGGCCACACUGGAACUGAGACACGGUCCAGACUCCUACGGGAGGCAGCAGUAGGGAAUCUUCCGCAAUGGGCGAAAGCCUGACGGAGCAACGCCGCGUGAGUGAUGAAGGUCUUCGGAUCGUAAAACUCUGUUAUUAGGGAAGAACAUAUGUGUAAGUAACUGUGCACAUCUUGACGGUACCUAAUCAGAAAGCCACGGCUAACUACGUG